RNAcentral lists this long non-coding RNA (208 nucleotides) under Mytilus galloprovincialis (Mediterranean mussel). Lineage: Eukaryota; Metazoa; Mollusca; Bivalvia; Mytilida; Mytilidae. The record is from RNAcentral.
GUGGUGGUGGUUCUCACUUGUUCUUUUUGGCUUAACCAGCCAAUUCAUUGUCAAGGAAAAUGUCAUGUUCCAGAAAAUCAAGGAAAUAUCAACUACAAGGUCAAAUUGGCUCAUUACUUUUGUCGUAGACUUGGAUCCUUUUGAAUUGUUUCUUAAUAAAAUAGAACAAGACUUGGGCAAAGCUUUUCUUGCUAUACAAAAAGUUCAC